UUUCCGUAGGUGAACCUGCGGAAGGAUCAUUCAUAAUAAAGUGUUUUAUGGCACUUUUUAAAAAUCCGUAUCCACCUUGUGUGCAAUGUUAGAUCUCGUCAAUCUUGGCGAGAUUUUUAUACAUCAACUCAUUCUUUAACUAAUUUGUCUGAAAAAUAUUAUGAAUACUUAAUUCAAAAUACAACUUUCAACAACGGAUCUCUUGGCUCUC
RNAcentral lists this unclassified non-coding RNA (211 nucleotides) under plant metagenome. RNAcentral's name for it is "partial contains small subunit ribosomal RNA, internal transcribed spacer 1, and 5.8S ribosomal RNA". The record is from RNAcentral.